UACAGAGGGUGCGAGCGUUAAUCGGAAUUACUGGGAGUAAAGAGCACGUAGGUGGCUUGCUAAGUCUGAUGUGAAAUCCCUAAACUCAAUUUAGGAAGUGCAUUGGAUACUGGUAAGCUAGAGUGCAAGAGGGGAGAGCGGAAUUCCUGGUGUAGAGGUGAAAUUCGUAGAUAUCAGGAGGAACAACAGUGGCGAAGGCGGCUCUCUGGAUUGCAACUGACACUGAGGUGCGAAAGCGUGGGGAGCAAACAGG
RNAcentral lists this ribosomal RNA (253 nucleotides) under uncultured bacterium. Its description in RNAcentral is "partial 16S ribosomal RNA". It matches the Rfam family "Bacterial small subunit ribosomal RNA", at positions 524 to 776 of the family's 1533-position model. The record is from RNAcentral.